CAGUCGCCACGGUAAUACGGAGGGUGCAAGCGUUAAUCGGAAUUACUGGGCGUAAAGCGCACGCAGGCGGUCUGUCAAGUCGGAUGUGAAAUCCCCGGGCUCAACCUGGGAACUGCAUUCGAAACUGGCAGGCUAGAGUCUUGUAGAGGGGGGUAGAAUUCCAGGUGUAGCGGUGAAAUGCGUAGAGAUCUGGAGGAAUACCGGUGGCGAAGGCGGCCCCCUGGACAAAGACUGACGCUCAGGUGCGAAAGCGUGGGGAGCAAACAGGAUUAGAUACCCCAGUAGUCCCUGUCUCUUAUAC
This 301-nucleotide ribosomal RNA is filed under the name uncultured bacterium. RNAcentral's name for it is "partial 16S ribosomal RNA". It matches the Rfam family "Bacterial small subunit ribosomal RNA", at positions 509 to 807 of the family's 1533-position model. The record is from RNAcentral.